CGUGUAGGCGGGUAGACAAGUCAGAUGUGAAAUACCGGGGCUCAACUCCGGGGCUGCAUUUGAAACUGUAUAUCUUGAGUGUCGGAGAGGAAAGCGGAAUUCCUAGUGUAGCGGUGAAAUGCGUAGACAUUAGGAGGAACACCAGUGGCGAAGGCGGCUUACUGGACGAUGACUGACGUUGAGGCUCGAAAGCGUGGGGAGCAAACA
RNAcentral lists this ribosomal RNA (207 nucleotides) under uncultured bacterium. RNAcentral's name for it is "partial 16S ribosomal RNA". It matches the Rfam family "Bacterial small subunit ribosomal RNA", at positions 568 to 774 of the family's 1533-position model. The record is from RNAcentral.